RNAcentral lists this ribosomal RNA (176 nucleotides) under uncultured Actinomycetes bacterium. RNAcentral describes it as "uncultured actinobacterium 16S ribosomal RNA". It matches the Rfam family "Bacterial small subunit ribosomal RNA", at positions 338 to 526 of the family's 1533-position model. Lineage: Bacteria; Bacillati; Actinomycetota; Actinomycetes. The record is from RNAcentral.
CCUACGGGAGGCAGCAGUGGGGAAUAUUGCACAAUGGGCGCAAGCCUGAUGCAGCAACGCCGCGUGAGGGACGACGGCCUUCGGGUUGUAAACCUCUUUUAGCAGGGAAGAAGCGAAAGUGACGGUACCUGCAGAAAAAGCACCGGCUAACUACGUGCCAGCAGCCGCGGUAAUAC